CCAAGUGAUAGUGGCAUACGGUGGAUGCCUUGGCACCAGGCGCCGAUGAAGGACGUGGGAGGCCGCGAUAGGCCGCGGGGAGCUGUCAACCGAGCUUUGAUCCGUGGGUGUCCGAAUGGGGGAACCUAGCCCGAGUUGUGUCGGGUUGCCGCUGUCUGAAUGUAUAGGGCAGUUGGUGGUGACGCGGGGAAGUGAAACAUCUCAGUACCCGUAGGAAGAGUAAACAACAGUGAUUUCCUGAGUAGUGGUGAGCGAAAGGGAAUGAGGCUAAACCAUGUGCGUGUGAGAGACGGUAGUCGUUGCGUGUGUGGGGUUGUGGGGUGCAUCUGUUCGGGUCUGCCGGCCCGGAGCACUGGUGGUUCUUUUAGCUGAAUCCGUUGGGAAGCGGUACCGGAGUGGGUGAGAGUCCCGUAGGUGAAGGAAGAGCCCAGGUGUUGGUGCAUGCCCGAGUAGCGCGGAGCCCGAGGAAUUCCGUGUGAAUCUGGCAGGACCACCUGCUAAGCCAAAAUACGUCCUGGUGACCGAUAGUGCACUAGUACCGUGAGGGAAAGGUGAAAAGUGCCCCGGUGAGGGGUCGUGAAAUAGUACCUGAAACCGUGUGCUGUCAAGCCGUCAGAGCUGGUCCUUGUGGCUGGUGAUGGCGUGCCUUUUGAAGAAUGAGCCUGCGAGUCAUGGUGUGUGGCGAGGUUAACCCGGGUGGGGUAGCCGUAGGGAAACCGAGUCUGAAGAGGGCGUUGGAGUCGCAUGCUGUGGACCCGAAGCGGAGUGAUCUACCCAUGUCCAGGGUGAAGCGGGGGUAAGACCUCGUGGAGGCCCGAACCCACCAGAGUUGAAAAUCUGGGGGAUGAGGUGUGGGUAGGGGUGAAAGGCCAAUCAAACUCCGUGAUAGCUGGUUCUCCCCGAAAUGCAUUUAGGUGCAGCGUCGCGUGUUUCUUGCUGGAGGUAGAGCUACUGUUUGGCUGAUGGGCCCGACCAGGUUACUGACGUCAGACAAACUCCGAAUGCCGGUGAAGUGAAGCGUGGCAGUGAGACUGCGGGGGAUAAGCUUCGUAUGUCGAGAGGGAAACAGCCCAGAUCAUCAGCUAAGGCCCCUAAGCGUGUGCUAAGUGGUAAAGGUUGUGGAGUUGCUGAGACAACCAGGAGGUUGGCUUAGAAGCAGCCAUCCUUUAAAGAGUGCGUAAUAGCUCACUGGUCAAGUGGUUCUGCGCCGAUAAUGUAGCGGGGCUGAAGCACACCGCCGAAGCUGUGGAGCCCAAAUUUGUUUUGGGUUGGUAGGGGAGCGUCGUGCAUCCGGUGAAGUCGUCGAGUGAUCGUGCGGUGGAGGGUGUGCGAGUGAGAAUGCAGGCAUGAGUAGCGAGAGCAGCGUGAGAAACGUUGCCGCCGAUUGACUAAGGGUUCCUGGGGCAGGUUAAUCCGCCCAGGGUGAGUCUGGACCUAAGGCGAGGCCGACAGGCGUAGUCGAUGGAUAACGGGUUGAUAUUCCCGUACCCGUGCACGAGCGUCCAUGCUGAAUCGGGUGAUGCUAACCACGCUGGAUCUUUUGUCGGCCUUCGGGUCGGUGAUUGGUGUCCGGUCUGGGAACCGAUCUUGUAGUAGGCAAGUGAUGGGGUGACGCAGGAGGGUAGCUCUACCCGGCGGUGGUUGUCCGGGGGUAAGCGUGUAGGCCGGUGUGUUGGCAAAUCCGCACACUGUGGGGCUGAGACGUGAUGCCGAGCCGUUUUUGGUGAAGUGAGUGAUCCCGUGCUGUCGAGAAAAGCCUCUAGCGAGUUCGUGUGUGGCCAGUACCCUAAACCGACGCAGGUGGUCAGGUAGAGAAUACCGAGGCGUUCGGGUGAACCAUGGUUAAGGAACUCGGCAAAUUGUCCCCGUAACUUUGGGAGAAGGGGAGCCCUGUCUGGUGAAGGAACGUGCUUCUGGAGCUGGGUGGGGUCGCAGAUAGCGGGGGGAAGCGACUGUUUAUUAAAAACACAGGUCCGUGCGAAGUCGUAAGACGCUGUAUACGGACUGACGCCUGCCCGGUGCUGGAACGUUAAGAGGACUGGUUAGCGGGUUCGUCCUGCGAAGCUGGGAAUCUAAGCGCCAGUAAACGGCGGUGGUAACUAUAACCAUCCUAAGGUAGCGAAAUUCCUUGUCGGGUAAGUUCCGACCUGCACGAAUGGCGUAACGACUUCCCCACUGUCUCAACCAUGGGCCCGGUGAAAUUGCACUACGAGUAAAGAUGCUCGUUUCGCGCAGCAGGACGGAAAGACCCCGGGACCUUCACUAUAGCUUGACAUUGGUGUUUGGGAUGGUUUGUGUAGGAUAGG
RNAcentral lists this ribosomal RNA (2306 nucleotides) under Nocardiopsis salina YIM 90010. Its description in RNAcentral is "bacterial LSU rRNA". It matches the Rfam family "Bacterial large subunit ribosomal RNA", at positions 1 to 2147 of the family's 2925-position model. Lineage: Bacteria; Bacillati; Actinomycetota; Actinomycetes; Streptosporangiales; Nocardiopsidaceae. The record is from RNAcentral.